GUCAGGUAUUGUAUGAGGCUAAAUAAAGGAAAACUCAACGUUUAUACGAGCUUUUCUCAAGUCUCUCGUAUUACAUAUCGACACGGAUUCCCCCGCCAAUGGAUCUUUACGCAUGGGUUGCGAAUUUGUUCUCUUCAUCCCGAAGGAAAUGAAGUUGAUUGAUCUUGUAUUAAAAACGUUAUUCUACUUUGAAAUGCGUCUGAAUAUAUUAAUAGGAGAGCAUUCCCAGAAUGGGUUAAAAUAUGGGGAUGAAUCAGAAACGUCGUUUGAUAAGAAAUAAGGAAAAGUGACAAGAUGCAGAGUAAGAGGAAAUAUUAUUUAUAGAGAAAAGCGGUAGACACAUAAAAAAUAUUUUUAAUUUAUGCAAAAUAUAUAACGUAUUAUAAUUAUAUACAUACGUACACAUAUAAUACAUAAUAUACACGUCUUUAUAAUUUUAUAUUGAACUUAAACAGGUGUUGUAGACAUACAUACACUGACAUUCAGACAUACAGUCACACAGUGUAUUAAUACUUAUGUAGAACAUUUUAUAAAUAACGAGUACAACUAAUAUAACACAUCAA
Molecule: long non-coding RNA, 563 nt
Organism: Ceratina calcarata
Lineage: Eukaryota; Metazoa; Arthropoda; Insecta; Hymenoptera; Apidae
Exons: 2
Source: RefSeq, a predicted model, not a curated record